Molecule: ribosomal RNA, 482 nt
Filed under: uncultured bacterium
Lineage: Bacteria
Description: partial 16S ribosomal RNA
Rfam family: Bacterial small subunit ribosomal RNA
Source: RNAcentral
AUUGAACGCUGGCGGCAUGCCUUACACAUGCAAGUCGAACGGUAACAGGUCUUCGGAUGCUGACGAGUGGCGAACGGGUGAGUAAUACAUCGGAGCGUGCCCGAUCGUGGGGGAUAACGAGGCGAAAGCUUUGCUAAUACCGCAUACGAUCUACGGAUGAAAGCGGGGGAUCUUCGGACCUCGCGCGGACGGAGCGGCCGAUGGCAGAUUAGGUAGUUGGUGGGAUAAAAGCUUACCAAGCCGACGAUCUGUAGCUGGUCUGAGAGGAUGAUCAGCCACACUGGGACUGAGACACGGCCCAGACUCCUACGGGAGGCAGCAGUGGGGAAUUUUGGACAAUGGGCGAAAGCCUGAUCCAGCCAUGCCGCGUGCAGGAUGAAGGCCUUCGGGUUGUAAACUGCUUUUGUACGGAACGAAAAGCCUCUUUCUAAUAAAGAGGGGUCAUGACGGUACCGUAAGAAUAAGCACCGGCUAACUACGUG